Molecule: long non-coding RNA, 202 nt
Filed under: Brassica napus (rape)
Lineage: Eukaryota; Viridiplantae; Streptophyta; Magnoliopsida; Brassicales; Brassicaceae
Description: long non-coding RNA (BNAP_LNC013758)
Source: RNAcentral
GCUGGUGGUGUAGAGAGUGAUACAGGCGUGAGAAAGUUAUAUUUCACAAAAAGAGCUUAUUUGGAAAGUGGAACGUCUUGACGGAGGAAUUAUAGCAUAUCUAUAAAAUACAAUAUUUAUCAAAAAUCUUAAAGUACAUUAAUUUUAUUCCAAAAGAAUGAUUGCGGAGAUCGUAGGAAAUGGUUAAAUUGCCAUGGAAAUU